UCACUCUCUCUUUUUUUUUUUUUUGGCUCCUCAUACUAUUUAACUUUUUCGAAUAAGCAUUUGCGCUUUAUAGUAAAUGAUUCAUAACUAUCCCACUGCCCUUUUGGUACCUCAUCUCAUCAUUCUCUUUCAUCAAACCUCAAAAGCUGUGCAUAAAGCGACGUCAAAGUAUUUUAUCAAUAACAGUACUGCUCUUUAUCAAAAGUCUGGCCCAAACGUUUUUCAUUUUAGAUUUAAUUUGUUUCACAUUUUGAAGGCAGUCUAUAAAGCAGGGAAGAAAAUCAGAACUAACAACACAUCGUUAAAUGGUAUUAAAUAUUUCCUUGAGCAAAUCAUGAGAUUGUAUCAGAACAAGAAGCCAAAUAUUUAAGUCAAACUACAAGCUGAAAACCAGCAAUGCUUAGCCUCCAUGGCAUGUUUCUAACUAUUGAAGAGCAGCACCACAGUUUCAGAUAGCAUAAUGGGACAGAAAAGGGGCCUGCCUUAUAAGCUAAUAGGGCAGGCAAAACUAUUAGUGCACUGAUAGUUACGUAAAGGAUCUUUUGAUCAAUAAAUUUUUUUUCUUCUAUAGUUUUUCAGUGUUUCUACCUCACACUCAUCCAUGGUUUUAAUGGAAAAAUCUCAAAAUAACCUACCUAUGAAAUUCUUCUUUUGUGAGUGUGUGUGUGUGUAUGUGAGAGA
This 681-nucleotide unclassified non-coding RNA is filed under the name Hevea brasiliensis (rubber tree). The record is from RNAcentral. Lineage: Eukaryota; Viridiplantae; Streptophyta; Magnoliopsida; Malpighiales; Euphorbiaceae.